AUUUUAUCGUACAUGUACCGGUACUUCAUUAUGGAUGAUAGGCAAUGCAGUAGCCUCGAUUGUCCUGAUCAUCUUUCUGACUUGUUUCCAAUAUGGGAAGAGGUGUGGGGAUGUUAGGCGAAGACAGCGCCCACGUCUUGUCUACCCUGUGAACUUCCUGAGGAAUUAUGAUCAUCGCCUUGCCUAUUUGCUCUCCU
Molecule: long non-coding RNA, 197 nt
Organism: Strongylocentrotus purpuratus (purple sea urchin)
Lineage: Eukaryota; Metazoa; Echinodermata; Echinoidea; Camarodonta; Strongylocentrotidae
Exons: 3
Source: RefSeq, a predicted model, not a curated record